This 381-nucleotide ribosomal RNA is filed under the name uncultured marine Chaetocerotaceae. RNAcentral describes it as "SSU rRNA". It matches the Rfam family "Eukaryotic small subunit ribosomal RNA", at positions 587 to 972 of the family's 1831-position model. The record is from RNAcentral. Lineage: Eukaryota; Bacillariophyta; Thalassiosirophyceae; Chaetocerotales; Chaetocerotaceae.
AGCUCCAAUAGCGUAUAUUAAAGUUGCUGCAGUUAAAAAGCUCGUAGUUGCAUUUCCGAGGCAAGGGAUUAGUCCGACCUUUGGUGGGUAUUUAAUCCUCUUGCCUCGUCCUUGAGUGGUGCUUCUUGGUAUUAAGUUAUCGAGGAGAUAGCCGCUCAUCGUUUACUGUGAGAAAAUUAGAGUGUUCAAAGCAGGCUUAUGCCGUUGAAUAUAUUAGCAUGGAAUAAUAAGAUAGGACCUCGGUACUAUUUGGUUGGGUUGAGAACCAAGGUAAUGAUGAAUAGGGACAGUUGGGGGUAUUCGUAUUCAGUUGUCAGAGGUGAAAUUCUUAGAUUUACGGAAGACGAACUACUGCGAAAGCAUUUACCAAGGAUGUUUUCA